Molecule: ribosomal RNA, 253 nt
Filed under: uncultured bacterium
Lineage: Bacteria
Description: partial 16S ribosomal RNA
Rfam family: Bacterial small subunit ribosomal RNA
Source: RNAcentral
UACGUAGGGUGCAAGCGUUAAUCGGAAUUACUGGGCGUAAAGCGUACGUAGGCGGCUUUGUAAGUUAGAGGUGAAAGCCCGGAGCUUAACUCCGGAACUGCCUUUAAGACUGCAUCGCUCGAAUCAUGGAGAGGUCAGUGGAAUUCCGAGUGUAGAGGUGAAAUUCGUAGAUAUUCGGAAGAACACCAGUGGCGAAGGCGACUGACUGGACAUGUAUUGACGCUGAGGUGCGAAAGCGUGGGGAGCAAACAGG